RNAcentral lists this ribosomal RNA (90 nucleotides) under Escherichia coli. RNAcentral's name for it is "partial 16S ribosomal RNA". It matches the Rfam family "Bacterial small subunit ribosomal RNA", at positions 1 to 89 of the family's 1533-position model. RNAcentral also lists the same sequence under 1 other name. The record is from RNAcentral. Lineage: Bacteria; Pseudomonadati; Pseudomonadota; Gammaproteobacteria; Enterobacterales; Enterobacteriaceae.
UUAAAUUGAAGAGUUUGAUCAUGGCUCAGAUUGAACGCUGGCGGCAGGCCUAACACAUGCAAGUCGAACGGUAACAGGAAGUAGCUUGCU